This 999-nucleotide ribosomal RNA is filed under the name Salmonella enterica. Its description in RNAcentral is "partial 23S ribosomal RNA". It matches the Rfam family "Bacterial large subunit ribosomal RNA", at positions 1935 to 2925 of the family's 2925-position model. The record is from RNAcentral. Lineage: Bacteria; Pseudomonadati; Pseudomonadota; Gammaproteobacteria; Enterobacterales; Enterobacteriaceae.
CGUAACUAUAACGGUCCUAAGGUAGCGAAAUUCCUUGUCGGGUAAGUUCCGACCUGCACGAAUGGCGUAAUGAUGGCCAGGCUGUCUCCACCCGAGACUCAGUGAAAUUGAACUCGCUGUGAAGAUGCAGUGUACCCGCGGCAAGACGGAAAGACCCCGUGAACCUUUACUAUAGCUUGACACUGAACAUUGAGCCUUGAUGUGUAGGAUAGGUGGGAGGCUUUGAAGUGUGGACGCCAGUCUGCAUGGAGCCGGCCUUGAAAUACCACCCUUUAAUGUUUGAUGUUCUAACGUGGACCCGUGAUCCGGGUUGCGGACAGUGUCUGGUGGGUAGUUUGACUGGGGCGGUCUCCUCCUAAAGAGUAACGGAGGAGCACGAAGGUUGGCUAAUCCUGGUCGGACAUCAGGAGGUUAGUGCAAUGGCAUAAGCCAGCUUGACUGCGAGCGUGACGGCGCGAGCAGGUGCGAAAGCAGGUCAUAGUGAUCCGGUGGUUCUGAAUGGAAGGGCCAUCGCUCAACGGAUAAAAGGUACUCCGGGGAUAACAGGCUGAUACCGCCCAAGAGUUCAUAUCGACGGCGGUGUUUGGCACCUCGAUGUCGGCUCAUCACAUCCUGGGGCUGAAGUAGGUCCCAAGGGUAUGGCUGUUCGCCAUUUAAAGUGGUACGCGAGCUGGGUUUAGAACGUCGUGAGACAGUUCGGUCCCUAUCUGCCGUGGGCGCUGGAGAACUGAGGGGGGCUGCUCCUAGUACGAGAGGACCGGAGUGGACGCAUCACUGGUGUUCGGGUUGUCAUGCCAAUGGCACUGCCCGGUAGCUAAAUGCGGAAGAGAUAAGUGCUGAAAGCAUCUAAGCACGAAACUUGCCCCGAGAUGAGUUCUCCCUGAGACUUUAGGUCUCCUGAAGGAACGUUGAAGACGACGACGUUGAUAGGCCGGGUGUGUAAGCGCAGCGAUGCGUUGAGCUAACCGGUACUAAUGAACCGUGAGGCUUAACCUUACA